UAAGCGUAUGCUAGAGGUGUA
Molecule: non-coding RNA, 21 nt
Filed under: Arabidopsis thaliana (thale cress)
Lineage: Eukaryota; Viridiplantae; Streptophyta; Magnoliopsida; Brassicales; Brassicaceae
Source: RNAcentral